GACGAACGCUGGCGGCGUGCCUAAUACAUGCAAGUAGAACGCUGAAGGAUGAUCUUGCUUCUCUGGAUGAGUUGCGAACGGGUGAGUAACGCGUAGGUAACCUGCCUGGUAGCGGGGGAUAACUAUUGGAAACGAUAGCUAAUACCGCAUAAUAGUAGAUUUUGCAUGACAUUUGCUUAAAAGGUGCAAUUUCAUCACUACCAGAUGGACCUGCGUUGUAUUAGCUAGUUGGUGGGGUAACGGCUCACCAAGGCGACGAUACAUAGCCGACCUGAGAGGGUGAUCGGCCACACUGGGACUGAGACACGGCCCAGACUCCUACGGGAGGCAGCAGUAGGGAAUCUUCGGCAAUGGACGGAAGUCUGACCGAGCAACGCCGCGUGAGUGAAGAAGGUUUUCGGAUCGUAAAGCUCUGUUGUAAGAGAAGAACGAGUGUGAGAGUGGAAAGUUCACACUGUGACGGUAUCUUACCAGAAAGGGACGGCUAACUACGUG
RNAcentral lists this ribosomal RNA (495 nucleotides) under uncultured bacterium. RNAcentral's name for it is "partial 16S ribosomal RNA". It matches the Rfam family "Bacterial small subunit ribosomal RNA", at positions 28 to 507 of the family's 1533-position model. The record is from RNAcentral.